GUUGACAAAUACAAGCUUCACAACAACACUUUCCUCAUACAAAUUUUCGAGGUUCGUCACAAGUGGGCGAAGCCUUAUUUUAGUGGCAAGUUAUGUGCGAAGCAAACCAGUACGCAAAGAAGCGAGAGUGCAAACCAUUUGUUGAAAGGCUACAUCCCGCCUGCAUGCCCCAUGAACCUUUUUGUGAAGCAAUAUAGCAAAUUGCAGUUCGACUGA
This 216-nucleotide ribosomal RNA is filed under the name Triticum aestivum (bread wheat). RNAcentral describes it as "partial small subunit ribosomal RNA". The record is from RNAcentral. Lineage: Eukaryota; Viridiplantae; Streptophyta; Magnoliopsida; Poales; Poaceae.